AGCUCGUGUCGUGAGAUGUUGGGUUAAGUCCGUAACCGAGCGCAACCCUUGUCCUUAGUUACCAGCACGUUAUGGUGGGCGACUCUAAGGAGACUGCCGGUGACAAACCGGAGGAAGGUGGGGAGUGACGUCAAGUCAUCAUGGCCCUUACGGCCUGGGCUACACACGUGCUACAAUGGUCGGUACAAAGGGUUGCCAAGCCGCGAGGUGGAGCUAAUCCCAUAAAACCGAUCGUAGUCCGGAUCGCAGUCUGCAACUCGACUGCGUGAAGUCGGAAUCGCUAGUAAUCGUGAAUCAGAAUGUCACGGUGAAUACGUUCCCGGGCCUU
Molecule: ribosomal RNA, 328 nt
Filed under: uncultured Pseudomonas sp.
Lineage: Bacteria; Pseudomonadati; Pseudomonadota; Gammaproteobacteria; Pseudomonadales; Pseudomonadaceae
Description: bacterial SSU rRNA
Rfam family: Bacterial small subunit ribosomal RNA
Source: RNAcentral